This 420-nucleotide ribosomal RNA is filed under the name uncultured bacterium. RNAcentral describes it as "bacterial SSU rRNA". It matches the Rfam family "Bacterial small subunit ribosomal RNA", at positions 355 to 774 of the family's 1533-position model. The record is from RNAcentral.
UAAGGAAUAUUGCUCAAUGGGAGAAAUCCUGAAGCAGCAACGCCGCGUGGAGGAUGAAGGGUCUAUGACUUGUAAACUCCUGUAAAGAAGGAAAAAAUUCCCAUUGGAUGGGAGAUGAUGGUACUUCUGGAGUAAGCCCCGGCUAACUACGUGCCAGCAGCCGCGGUAAUACGUAGGGGGCAAGCGUUGUCCGGAUUUACUGGGUGUAAAGGGUGCUCAGGCGGAUUUGUAAGUCAGAGGUGAAAUCUUACAGCUUAACUGUGAAACUGCCUUCGAUACUGCAAGCCUAGAGUAUGGAAGAGAGUGAUGGAAUAUCUGGUGUAGCAGUGAAAUGCGUAGAUAUCAGAUAGAACACCAAUGGCGAAGGCAGUCACUUGGUCCAUUACUGACGCUAAAGCACGAAAGCGUGGGUAGCAAACA